GUGUUUUUAUGAAAGAGUUAGCACUCCCCUUACCAAGAUGAAGAGCCAUUGGGUCUAACAAAUAAAUAUAGUUGCUACCUACUUUGUGGCAUCUAGCCAGUGUUUU
Molecule: non-coding RNA, 106 nt
Filed under: Tupaia belangeri (northern tree shrew)
Lineage: Eukaryota; Metazoa; Chordata; Mammalia; Scandentia; Tupaiidae
Source: RNAcentral